This 170-nucleotide unclassified non-coding RNA is filed under the name uncultured fungus. RNAcentral's name for it is "sequence contains ITS1, 5.8S rRNA gene". Lineage: Eukaryota; Fungi. The record is from RNAcentral.
UUAACUUAUUUAUAAGCUACUCAGAGAUGCCAAAAAAUCAAGAGUUUGUAUUCCUCCGGCGGUCUGCUCCCUGAAGAGCCUCCCGCCGAAGCAACUGAUAAGGUUCGUUCACAAAGGGUUGGGAGUUUUGCAACUCUGUAAUGAUCCCUCCGCUGGUUCACCAACGGAGA